This 787-nucleotide long non-coding RNA is filed under the name Numida meleagris (helmeted guineafowl). RNAcentral describes it as "lncRNA (ENSNMEG00000011143.1)". Lineage: Eukaryota; Metazoa; Chordata; Aves; Galliformes; Numididae. The record is from RNAcentral.
GCAUAAUUAAUAUGCCAAUUGUCAAAGAAUUCAAUAACAGAUUUACAAAACUAGAUGCAGAGCCGAUGUAGGUAUUGGGGGAGAACCUAACAAAAAUCUUCUUGUCACAGAAUAAGUUAGAUAUUUUAAAAACCUGAGGCAUCCACAGUAAAAAUUAGUAAAAAUAAAUCAUCAUAAGCUCAAUGACUGACCAGUGUGCCUAGGCUGUAUGAACCCUAAUAGUGCAGAGACUCUGCCUUUCUGCAGGAGGAGCUGAAUAUUUGAAAUAUUUGAUCUGAGAGAAGGACUUCUCAUUGUUUCCAUGCUGAGUUUCAGCCCAUACUGUGCUCACGACAAACCUAAAACUUUUGGGCAGGAACCUUGGAACAUCCAACAGAAGGGGCAUUCUAUCAAGCAUCUCCCUUCCAAGAAAUACAUUAACCUGCAUGGACUGCAGCAUGUUGAAGCUGUCUGCUUUCUUUGCUCCACUCCUUUUUCACAAGACCAGGGCCAGAAUCCCCUGCAAAUGCUGGGGAUCGAUUAGCCAUCUUUGAUGAGGCAGUUGAAAUUUCUGUCACUGCUAUUCCUUCCUCUCUUUGCAGCUUGAGGAAGUGAGAUUAUUAUGGAUGUUUUUCAAACAGUGUCUGGAAGUAACUGUCUCAGGCAGAGAAGGAUACUCUGUAGAGGUUCCUUUUUUCUUUGCAAGUUCAGCUCAUGUUUCGGGACCGUGGGGCAGGAGGUAAAGUAGCAUGUGCUAUUUACAGGCAACAAUUACACCAGUGUUAAGGGCAAACUGAGAAUAAUUUUG